RNAcentral lists this ribosomal RNA (253 nucleotides) under uncultured bacterium. RNAcentral's name for it is "partial 16S ribosomal RNA". It matches the Rfam family "Bacterial small subunit ribosomal RNA", at positions 524 to 776 of the family's 1533-position model. The record is from RNAcentral.
UACGAAGGGGACUAGCGUUGUUCGGAAUCACUGGGCGUAAAGCGCACGUAGGCGGAUUCGUAAGUCAGGGGUGAAAUCCCGGGGCUCAACCUCGGAACUGCCUUUGAUACUGCGGGUCUUGAGUCCGAUAGAGGUGGGUGGAAUUCCUAGUGUAGAGGUGUAAUUCGUAGAUAUUAGGAAGAACACCGGUGGCGAAGGCGGCCCACUGGUCCGGUACUGACGCUGAGGUGCGAAAGCGUGGGGAGCAAACAGG